This 342-nucleotide ribosomal RNA is filed under the name uncultured bacterium. RNAcentral's name for it is "bacterial SSU rRNA". It matches the Rfam family "Bacterial small subunit ribosomal RNA", at positions 917 to 1264 of the family's 1533-position model. The record is from RNAcentral.
GGGCCCGCACAAGCGGUGGAGCAUGUGGUUUAAUUCGAUGCAACGCGAAGAACCUUACCAAGGCUUGACAUACUACAAAUUUUUCUGAGAAGAAAAAGUGCCUUCGGGAAUGUAGAUACAGGUGGUGCAUGGCUGUCGUCAGCUCGUGUCGUGAGAUGUUGGUUAAGUCCCGCAACGAGCGCAACCCUUGUUUUAGUUGCCAAUUUAUUGGGUUUUCUAGAAAGACUGCCGGUGACAAACCCGGAGGAAGGUGAGGAUGACGUCAAGUCAGCAUGCCCCUUAUGCCUUGGGCUACACACGUGCUACAAUGGCUAGGACAAAGAGUUGCGAGCUCGCGAGAGU